This 65-nucleotide transfer RNA is filed under the name Cymbium olla (pot-bellied volute). RNAcentral's name for it is "tRNA-Asn". The record is from RNAcentral. Lineage: Eukaryota; Metazoa; Mollusca; Gastropoda; Neogastropoda; Volutidae.
UGGAUGAAAGCCAAAGAGAGGCAUCUAACUGUUAAUUAGGAAACUGUGAUAAUCACUCAUUCAGC